GUUGGGUACAGUGACACAUGCCUGUAAUCCCAGUGGCUUGGGAGGCUGAGACAGGAGGAUCUCAAGUUUGAGGGCAGCCUCAGCAACUUAGUGAGGCCCUAAGCAACAUAGCGAGACCAUGCCUCAC
RNAcentral lists this small RNA (127 nucleotides) under Marmota monax (woodchuck). Lineage: Eukaryota; Metazoa; Chordata; Mammalia; Rodentia; Sciuridae. The record is from RNAcentral.